This 284-nucleotide long non-coding RNA is filed under the name Phascolarctos cinereus (koala). Its description in RNAcentral is "lncRNA (ENSPCIG00000014723.2)". The record is from RNAcentral. Lineage: Eukaryota; Metazoa; Chordata; Mammalia; Diprotodontia; Phascolarctidae.
AUCCCACAAAAAUAUAACAGAACAAAAGGACAUGAGAAAGCUGAAUGUGGCUUGUGAUCACUAAGAUAUCCAGGCUUUGUGUCUGUGUGGCUAACAUAUGUAUCUAAAGAAGAAAAAAGAGCCAGCUGGUUCAGCAUAUGCUUCCUGAAUUCAGAAGAUGCCCUCCCUGCCUUUCCUUACCAGUGGGUUGGUGUAGUUAAACUACUCUGAGACAAGCCUCCUCCCUCUCCACUUUCGAAGUAUUUCAUGGACAGCUUGAGGCCAAUUCCAAACAGAAGGUACCC